GCUGGAACAGGUGGUUUGUCAGCUUGAACCCUGGGGAAAUAACACACAGACCAAAGGCGGGAAACAUUUCAAAGCUAGAUAUGCUUUCAUAAAGAUCCCGUGGGUCAGACUGCAGGUGUCCGGUGUAGUCAGGUGACCGGUGUAGUCAGGUGUCCGGUGUAGUCAGGUGACCGGUGUAGUCAGGUGUCUGGUGUAGUCAGGUGUCUGGUGUAGUCAGGUGUCCGGUGUAGUCAGGUGACCGGUGUAGUCAGGUGUCCGGUGUAGUCAGGUGACCGGUGUAGUCAGGUGACCGGUGUAGUCAGGUGUCCGGUGUAGUCAGGUGACCGGUGUAGUCAGGUGACCGGUGUAGUCAGGUGACCGGUGUAGUCAGGUGACCGGUGUAGUCAGGUGUCCGGUGUAGUCAGGUGUCCGGUGUAGUCAGGUGACCGGUGUAGUCAGGUGACCGGUGUAGUCAGGUGACCGGUGUAGUCAGGUGACCGGUGUAGUCAGGUGUCCUGGUUUGUAUGAUUGAAUACAGAGAGUGAUGAUUCACUACAAAGGAAGUGGGUCGUGGUUUAAGGAAAGGAGGGACUGGGCUGU
Long non-coding RNA from Oncorhynchus keta (chum salmon), 579 nucleotides. RefSeq lists it as uncharacterized. The transcript has 4 exons. Lineage: Eukaryota; Metazoa; Chordata; Actinopteri; Salmoniformes; Salmonidae. The record is from RefSeq and is a predicted model, not a curated record.